This 352-nucleotide ribosomal RNA is filed under the name Alexandrium margalefii. RNAcentral describes it as "partial Bacterial small subunit ribosomal RNA". It matches the Rfam family "Bacterial small subunit ribosomal RNA", at positions 1 to 354 of the family's 1533-position model. Lineage: Eukaryota; Dinophyceae; Gonyaulacales; Pyrocystaceae. The record is from RNAcentral.
CUGAAGAGUUUGAUCAUGGCUCAGAUUGAACGCUGGCGGCAGGCUUAACACAUGCAAGUCGAGCGGUAACAGGGGGUGCUUGCACCCCGCUGACGAGCGGCGGACGGGUGAGUAAUGCAUAGGAAACUGCCCAGUAGUGGGGGAUAGCCCGGGGAAACCCGGAUUAAUACCGCGUACGCCCUUCGGGGGAAAGCAGGGGAUCUUCGGACCUUGCGCUAUUGGAUGUGCCUAUGUCGGAUUAGCUAGUUGGUGGGGUAAAGGCCUACCAAGGCGACGAUCCGUAGCUGGUCUGAGAGGAUGAUCAGCCACAUCGGGACUGAGACACGGCCCGAACUCCUACCGGAGGCAGCAG